CCCUCUUUUAAUUGUGGCGAAGCAUGUACACUAAUUUUAGUUUCCCUAACAUCUCCUUGAUCUCCAAGAUUAAUUGGCUCAGUUUAAUUUAAAUUAAGAUUUGGCUUGUCUACAAAUUGUUUCAACUCUCUACUUAUUUCUUCUAAUGCCUCUUCUUCAUCAUAUUCCACCUCUUGCUUCAUUAUAUCUUGAUCAGAUUAGAUUUUAAGAUCAGGCUAAAAAUUCUGCAUGCAUAUCAUAUCACUGGAAUCACCAUAAAGGGAACUGUAUAAAAAAGACAACAAAAUAUAUUAGACGGAAAAACAAAAAGGACAUUGCAUUUUAUUAAAAGGGAAAUAUAGGAGGGUUUAGACAUAAUCGACAAUAGAACAUAAACAAGAUAAAUUUCGAAUUACAACCUGGAAAUAACUCGAAUAAACAAAAAGAAAAAUAAAACAAACUAUCAAAACUCCUUCCUGACGGUGAGAGGACUGACUUCCCAAUUGUUGAGUUGGACAUCAAGGCCAAUAAACUACAUAUUUGUAUUACUAGUGCCUUCCCCAACUUCAACCACAUCAACUUAGAUAAAUAUGUCUUGGAUAAGGUUGAUUAACACUGCACCGUCAUUAUUCAUUGAUUCUAUGAUAGGCGGAACGGAGGAUCUAACUGCAUAGACUUUGAUGAAGGACUCGUUGAGUAACGGUAAUGGCUUGGUAAAUGCCCAUGAAUAUUUCUUCCACUUUUUAGACCUCUUUCUAUUCUCAAAAGUAGGUUUGUACCCCAAACCAAAGGUACCAAAGUUUUUAUGUAGGUAUACUAGAUGAGCCCUGCCUUGUAAAAAUGUCCCUAAACCUUUUCUCGAUUCAAAACCAUGCUUUAACAUUUCAUUCAUGACUAUAACAGAUGUGAAGGGCAAUUGUGACCUUGGAAUAAUAUUUCCCUCGAGGAUAUUCUCAACAGUCACCACCUUAAAAACCUGAUAAAUUGGUGCCCUAUCUGCAUUGCCUAUCUUAAUAGAGGAAAUAGAAUAAUCUUUGUUCACAAAUAAGUCCCCUUCGACAUGAAUAAUAAUUUCAUGUCUGUCACUUUCAAAUUUGACCAUUUGGUGUAAUGUAGAUGCAACUGCCCCAAUUUUGUGAACCCAUGGUCUUCCCAAUAAAAAAUUGUAAGAGAUGUCAAUAUUCUACACUUGAAAAUUUAUUGUAAAUUCAACUGGUCCUAUAGUUAAUAUUAUCUCUAUUUCACCAAUGUAAUCUAUUUUCGCUCUAUCAAAAUCUCUGACACAUACAUUGUUGGGUUGAAUCCUCUCGGUAUUGAUGUUCAACUUUUUCAAAGUAGACAGAGGAAAAAUGUUAACCUCAGAACCUCCAUCAAUUAUGACAUGAGUGACAUAGAAAUUUUCACACUUCACAGUAAUGUAAAGGCCCCGAUAAAGCCCCGUACCAUCUUCAUGCAAUUCGUCAUCGAAAAAGCUAAUACGAUUUACCUUAAAGAUCUUCCCCACAAUUUUGUUCAACUGGUUCACCAUAAUUUCUCUAGGGACAUAAGAUUCAUUCAAUACCUUCAAUAUAACAUUACGAUGUUCGUCAAAAUGCAACAACAAAGAAAGAAGAAAGAUUUGAGCUGGAGUCUUCUUCAGCUGAUCUAUGAUUGAAUAUUCUAGCAAUUUUAUCUUCUUCAAGAAUUCUUCAGCUUGUUCUUCAGUGAUAGGAUUUUUGAGAGAAGAUUGCCCAUUCAUUAUUAGCUUAGACUUCCCUAAACCUUCUAGCACAAAACAUAUCCCUGAACGAGUCAAGCCCCUUACUUCAUCCAUGAUUUUCUUCCCCUGAUAAGUCAUGACAAUCUAUUUAUAAUUUCAGAGAACCCUUUUUGUAUCGACCAACGGGAGUUGGGUAACAGUAUUGAUGGUAAUAGGUGUUGCGAGUACUCCUUUUAUAGUCAAAUAGGCUUGCUCGGAGCUCCUACUACCGUUAACUUGGGGUUUUCCUGACUUAGACUGCCAAUUUUCUCAACUCCUUUUACAAUGAUCACGAGUUUCCUCGUAUUUUCUUGAAAUUUAUCUUCCACUAUUUUCUCUCAGAUCAAUGACAUCACCUUCAUCGAAUCCGCUGUAUUCACCGAUUUAUCCUCAUUAGUUCGUAUUCUAACAAUAGGCUUGUGGGACACCGUAGAAUCUUUACCAUUAUAUAUAAACUCCAACAUAUUUAUUUCAGCAUUAACUAGCAAUGGAUUUUGGUUGACGUUUGGAAUCUCUGGGGCCUAUUUUAUAAUCUGAUUUGUGUCGAUCAGAUUCUGGAUGACUCUCUUUAAAUACCAGCAUCUUUCUACAUUAUGCCCCGAUAUGUCAAAACAAUAUGCAUAUUUAGAGAGUAAUCAAGAUUCCUUAGAGGUGGAUUCAGAAGUUUUCCUUGAUUUGGGCUCAAGACCUUUAAAUUUCUCAGUCUCUGAAAUAAACUUAUAUAUGACUCCCCAAUAGGUGUGAACUUAUUCUUGAUUGCUUUCUCUUUCUUAAAAUUGGGCCUAGGUCAAAAAUUGGAUUUAGAAGGGUUUAUGUAAUUUUGUGAAGCUGAAGGACGAUUUUGAGGAAUUAGUGCAUGCUACUGUGGGUAAGAAGAGGUAUGGAUAUAUGGUUGUGCGCUAUAUAUUGGGUAUGGGGGUGGUGAAAUAGAAUAUAGUGGGUUUUGUGGAGGGUAGUAAUGAUGCAGGGAAUAUAUGGAGCUUGGGCUUGAGAUUGGGAAUAGGGGUGAGGCGGUCUUUUUAGAUAUACAUGUGGUCCAGCUACAACAACCGCUAUAUCCUCCUUCUUUUUUUCCCUCUAAAAGUUCCAGAACCAAUCUGAAUUUCUUGGGUAGUGGCCUUUAAUGCGGCAAAACUCAUGAUUCAUCCAAUCUUGAUACCCUCUUCUAUCAUCUCUCUUAUUUUGAGGACUUCGACAAAUAUCUUACCUAUCGUCGGAAGCAAGUGUUGGAAAUAGGUAUUAUUUUGUGCCUGAAUAAAGACCUCUACCAAUUUACUCUCUUUCAUCGGAGGUUUUACCCUAGCGGCCUGUUCACGCCACCUUAUCGCAUACUCCCUAAAGCUUUUAGUACUCUUCUUCUUCAUAUUAGUCAGGGAUUUCUUAUCAGGAAUUAGCUCUACAUUAUAUUAAAAUUGUUGCAAGAAUUCAUCGGCUAGGUCAUCCCAACUAUUCCACUUAUCGAUGUCCUAAUCCAUAAAUCACUCUGAGGCUAGACUCGAAAGGCAAAAUAAGCCAUGAGUAAUUCUUCUUUACCUCCAGCACCCCUUAAUUGGUUACAAUAACACCUCAAAUAUGCCACCGGAUCACCGUGUCCAUCAUACUUUUCAAACUUCGGCAUCUUAAAGCAAAGAGGAAGAUUAACACCUAGAAACAUGCAUAGAUCUUUAUACGAAACACUUUUAUAACCCCUAAAUCCCUGCAAAUUUCUCAUGGCCUGUUCUAGGCUCUUUAAUUUUUGUGCCAUGCCUUCUUGUUCUUCUAUUACAACAGGCUUCUCUGUAUCAAAUGGAAAUGCCGGUGGUUGAUUGUACCCAUACGGUUCAUUCAUUUUCAAAGUAGGCUCUGGGGUAUAAUACGGAUCAUUCAAACCUUCAACACUGGCUCACUAAUAGAUUGAGAGAGCAUAAUUGUUAGACGAACAACAUAAGUAGGAGAUUCAGGCGGUGGAGGAGCCAUAAACACAAGUGCCAUAGGUGGUGCUAGAUGGGCAGAUGGCCUCUGUUGAGGGACUGUCAAGGGCGCACUAGACGUGCUAGGAAAGUACUAAUAUGGCGUGAAUCUUGGUGUAUAUUGGGGCAUAUCAGUGGAACCAGAAAAUUGCACUUGAGACAACGGUGGAUAAUUGGAAGUGUUGCCGAGAUCAUUUGGGUAUGGAGGAGGAGGCAUGCCACUGGCCCAUGCUCGGUGUAUCUCUUCCAGUUGUUGUCUGAGUCUUAAUAUCUCCUCAUUAUGUUCUGAACCCCCUUCCCUAGGAUUCUGGUUUGGGCCAAUGAGCAAAUUUUCUACCUCUUUGUUGGUCAUGACAAACUUUGCUUUUGAUCUGGUGAAGUAAGGAUGACUAGACAGAGUGCUACAAAUCAACCACUUUUUAUAUGAAAGAACAUGCUCAUCAAGGAUAAAACCCAUUAGGAUUAGGUCACACAACCAAGCAUGAAAAUCACACUGUAUAUUUGUCCUAGAUUUAUGCGCAUUUCUACCUACCUUUGAGGGUAAUGAGACCAUUUUAACAUCAUCUCGAUCUUUCCGUUACACUUACUACUUCUUCCCCUCCCAUUACACCUCAUUAUUUUCUACUUUUCGCCCUCACUUUUCUCUUCUUUGCAUCAGUCUUUUUUCCUUUCCCCUCGUUUUUUCUCUCACUAUUCUUUCUUUCUCUUUUCUUCUCUCACUAUUUUCUUUCUUCUUAUCAUUUUUUAUGGCUUUUGCUUUUUUUUCAAAAUAGGAAAAUUAAGGAAAAACAAAGAAACAAAACGAUUAGAUCGAACCUAAAAAUAGGUUACCUACUUAUUAUGUUGUAUAUGAAUCAGUCUUGCGUAGUUCGGGAUUAUGCACAAAGUUUGAUGUUUUUUUAUUUUUUAUUUUUUUAAUAGGAGUUUUUAUAAAAGAAAUUUUAAAAAAAAUUGUAGAAGUUUUGUACAUUUUAUAUAACGAAAAUACCAAAAAGAUUUUUCUUUCAUACUUGUUGGUGUCAUUUUUUUUAUGUUAAGAGUCACACCCUUUUUACAAAAAAGAUAGAUUUUAUGUUCGAAAAGAAUUUUUAUUAUUAAGUGACAAAAGAUAGAACUUAUUUCGAAAAGUAUUCUUUUUCAUUUGAACUCAGAGUCAACACUUGACAUAAAUUUGAUGUGCCAAGUCACCUUUGAAAAUUUUUUUUCAAAAUGAUUUUUGACUCUAUAAAACUGAUUUGCGAACAGAGAUUUUGAUUAAGGAAUUCUGUUGACCGAAGGAAAGGUGUUAGGUACUCCUCGGUCCCGUGGUUCAACCACGAUCUCUUCGUGGAGUAUCGAUUAGUACGACACUAUGAAGUGGAUAAACCACAUAAAUACAUAAACACAGAAACAAACAACCACACACUCAAAAGUCAGAAAAAUAGUGUUCAGUCCAAUUUAAUACAUACCAAAAUAAAAAUGCUGAAAAGAAAAUCUAAACUAUUCUAACUAUCCUAAGCUACGCUUUACCCGAUGCCUCGGGCCUUGAUCGUGAACAUUCUGCGCGUACAAGCUACUUCAAAGCAUACCUCAGUGAAUAAGUACAAAUGACCUCGGGGCAUUCCUCGGCUAAAGGAAUACAUUUUUCAAUUUCUAUCGACAAAAUGAAACAAUCUCAAGCACAAAAACUCAAUCAUUCCACAAUCGUCCAUUUCUAUAAUUUGCCUACCCAAACUUAGUAUUUACCUACCCAUUUGAUGGCCUAAAACAUGAUACCAUCGAAUUUGACAAUAUUAAUGUCCAUUUCAAAUCAAACAACGAUUCAAUGAAUUAAACUAAUCAAUAUCCAUGCUUUAUCGAUUUUCCAUUCAAACCCCCCGCGAUUAACCAAUUUCAACUUAAAAUCAACCAAUCAAACCACGAUGAUUAUGAAAACUCAAACACAUUCAAACACAUCACCGAAUUAUAUCAUCAAACACAUUAAGAUAAUAAAAAGAGUGGAGUUGAGAAUUUGGACCUCAAAAAUUGGUUGCUGAUAAUAAUGAGUUUAUGAGAGUCCCGAUUUGAAAUCCUCGAACGACAAUACCUAAACAACAAACAAAAUUAACUCGACAUUGAGAAAUAGCAACCUGGAGAGAUUUAAACCCACGGAGAAGACCUUAAUAUGAACCCCAAAUCACGAAUAUUUACGCAACUUAAUCACAAAAACCUUUUGAAAUCUAAUAUCGAAGACAAACUUACGAAGACAGAUUAACCAUGAAACAGCGAUGUCCAAAUCUAAGCCAGAUAUGAACAACGACACAGUUUUUGAGUUAGUUUUAAGCUGGUGACGUCGUUUUCGUCUCGCCGGAGCUUCGGCGAGCUUAGGAGGACCGGUAAACGAGGAAGAAGCUUAGAUUCCGAUCGACAAUUAUUUUUUCUGAUGAGAAAUUGUUUUCGUCCAAAAACCUUGGUUCCUCUUUUUUUUUUUCCUUUUCUGUGCUCUCUGAUCUCAACCUCUACUAUAUUUAUCCCUUUUCUGGUGGGGUGUGCGUGUGUAGUAUUUUUUCGAUGAGUGUUGAUGAAAUUUUUGUGCGUAUGGCAGUGUGUGUUUUCAGUGAAUAUCUCCUUUUUCCAACAAUGUGCCUAUGUGUGUGAA
This 6283-nucleotide long non-coding RNA is filed under the name Capsicum annuum. RNAcentral's name for it is "long non-coding RNA (CANN_LNC016121)". The record is from RNAcentral. Lineage: Eukaryota; Viridiplantae; Streptophyta; Magnoliopsida; Solanales; Solanaceae.